This 125-nucleotide ribosomal RNA is filed under the name Colletotrichum fructicola Nara gc5. The record is from RNAcentral. Lineage: Eukaryota; Fungi; Ascomycota; Sordariomycetes; Glomerellales; Glomerellaceae.
ACAUACGACCAUACCCAUCCCAUCGGAAAACUCGGGAUCCCGUCCGCUCUCCCAUAGAUAAGCCAAUGAGGGCUGGAGUAGUAGUCGGGUCGGUGACGACCGGCGAAUGCCCGGUGUUGUAUGUU